This is a non-coding RNA of Empidonax traillii (willow flycatcher), 73 nucleotides long. NCBI's taxonomy places the organism in Eukaryota, Metazoa, Chordata, Aves, Passeriformes, Tyrannidae. The record is from the annotation of a RefSeq genome assembly.
CCCCUGGUGGUCUAGUGGUUAAGGACGCGGCACUGCCAACGCCGAGGUCCGGGUUCGAUUCCCGGUUGGGGCC